Molecule: ribosomal RNA, 253 nt
Filed under: uncultured Lachnospiraceae bacterium
Lineage: Bacteria; Bacillati; Bacillota; Clostridia; Lachnospirales; Lachnospiraceae
Description: partial 16S ribosomal RNA
Rfam family: Bacterial small subunit ribosomal RNA
Source: RNAcentral
UACGUAGGGGGCAAGCGUUAUCCGGAUUUACUGGGUGUAAAGGGAGCGUAGACGGUACGCCAAGUCUGAAGUGAAAUGCCGCAGCUUAACUGCGGAACUGCUUUGGAAACUGCCAGGCUAGAGUGUCGGAGAGGUAAGUGGAAUUCCUAGUGUAGCGGUGAAAUGCGUAGAUAUUAGGAGGAACACCAGUGGCGAAGGCGGCCGCCUGGCCUGUUACUGACGCUGAGGCACGAAAGCGUGGGGAGCAAAUAGG